Molecule: non-coding RNA, 5960 nt
Organism: Anas platyrhynchos (mallard)
Lineage: Eukaryota; Metazoa; Chordata; Aves; Anseriformes; Anatidae
Source: RefSeq, a predicted model, not a curated record
GCGCUGCCCGCCCCCGCGCUACCUGCGCCGCCAGCCCCCGGCCGCCCUCCGCCGGUCACCCCCCAUCCCGGAGCCUCCGCUCCCCUCGGAUCGCCCUUCCCCGAUUUCCUCCGCCGCCGCCGUGCUUCCUUCCUCCUGGCUAAAAAUAAGGAGAAGUUUGAAAGCCCUCCCUUCCCUUCCCGCGGUGGGAACGAUGCUAUUGUGCCCCUUCACCCCCCUUUCUGUUUUUCUGUGUUUUGUUUUUUUUUCCCCUGAAAAAAGAAGUGGGGAUUGGGUCGUGCUGCUGCUGCUGUUGGGACAGGGUUUCCAAAGGGGUAAAAUGGGGUUAAAAAAAUGCUGCUUUGGGUCUGCGGCAUGAAGGGCUGCUUUCAAAGAAGCCCCUUCCUGCCUGGCCGUGCAGAGUUACAAGCAAGUUGCGCGCUCUCCUGCGCUCUUUGCACGUCUCGCUGUUGAUCGUGCAAGCAGAGCAGGCAAUAACCCUGCACAAAAUACAGCACGGGCCGAGUUUUAUUACCCCGGCUCGCACGGCCGGGGCUGCAGUUCCUGUUUGCUCCCAGUCCAUUCAGUUGUCGGGUUGUUUUUCUUUUUGCCUUUGUGUGUGUGUGCCAGCACACGCUGGAGUGUUGGCUAUAAACAAUGCAAGCAAAUGUCUGCACAGACUUUAAAAAAAAAAAAAAAAAAGGAAUGAAUUAAAAACACUUUUUAAGAGCUAAUAGUGCUGCUGGGAGUGCACACUGGUGGCACUGUCAAUGGGCACCGCGUGCCUGUGGGGUGGCCGGGAUGGAGGAGGGACGCGGCCAAGCUAGCGGCCAUGGGGCUGUGCUGUCCUAGGACGAAUGGGGGGUGGGCACACAAAAAAGAGCUGCAAUCAGCGCUUCUGGUGUCUCUCAGGGCCCUCAGGCGGGUGUUGGAAGGGGACCGCCAACCUCUGCCAGACUGAGGAUCCCUUUCCGCAGCUGUGGCCCAAAGGCUAAUAGACCUAAUUGGAUAUUCAAUGUGGCUAAAACUCUCAUGAUUUUAUCACGUGUCUUUAAUUAGCUCGCUUUCUUUCCCUCUCUCUUAUAUUGCUCAUGCAGCGUUCCUCGGAACAACCCCUGCCAUGCCGCCUUUCCCUCAGCGGGGCCGCGGCCGCCAUGUUCCGCUCCCCCAUGCUGGGGCUGCGGGGGAGAAGAUGGCGCCGCUGUAGGCAUUGUGGCCAACAUGGCCACAGGGCAUGAGGCGGUGGGGCAGAAAGGCAAGUAAGCUGGUGUGAUUUGGACCCCAGACUAGCUGAGGACCUCUGAGGAAUCCUGCACCUGGGCUAACUUCAGCUCCUAUAACUCCAGCCAUCAGCUGUGGCUACGCCAUCAGUUCUGUGUGAUGUAACACACAGGCUUUCCUCCCGAUUAACCAAAAGGACACAUCCUGCUGUAAUUAUCAUCCUUCAUUUAGCAUUUCGAGGCCACUCACAGAUUUCCGCAGAUACCGGCUGUCUCGGAGGCUCCACCACCGUACCCCUCCAGGCGGUACGAGCAGCACUGGCUGAUGUGGCAAAUUUUAAUUAGCCUCUGGACGGCAGCGGCUACACCAAGGAACAGGGAACAGGGCUGAGGCCGACCCACCGGGGCGAGGAAACCUUCCCAGGACCUCGCUUGUGGGAACUCGUGGGUGCCUGACUCCCUCCUCCCAGGACUGUGCCUGCGUGGGGAGCGGUGAGAAGAGUUCCCGGUGCUGAAGAGGAAAAGUGAUAAGGGUUAUCCAGUGGCGUGUGAGCCUGCCUUGUGAUCAGCAGCACAGCGAGCCAGCCCCAAGCAGCCUCCGGCACCCGUGCCCUGUGGGAAGGGGAAGGUUUGUCUCCCCCCUGCCUGCCAGGCUUGGCAGGGAAGAAACGUGAUUCUUCCUCACACAAUGAAGAGGGACUUCAGGGAUAAGACUCCUUCCUCUGCAGCUGCUACAUAAAAAAGCCUCACAGAGCAUUUCCAGUUUAAGGACGGGGCCGUGCUGCUCCCAAGAUGUGUUUUACAUUAAGUGAGCCUGGGAGAAGCAAGGUGGAGACAAGGAUCUCCGGGGCAGGGCCUCCCCACUCCCACCUGCGCGCUUCAGUCAUGCUCCAUCUUGUGCUGCUGUGAUGCAACCCGUGGUUCCAGCCUUGCUCCAAGCCCAGCCCAAAUCCAGCGACGUGAACCCACCCAGCUCCCCGUGGUUAGGCCACGCUCCUGUGGAGCGAGAGAAGCGGGUUCGAACCCACGAGGCUGAUAAAGGAAACUAAUUCCAAGGAAGCUAAGCUCUGUCCAUGGGGCUGAUGGAGGAAAUGCUCCUGCACCACGCUGCUGAGGAGCACCAGCAGGGCGGUCACACCGAGUGCUGCUCCCCUGGCUCCUGACAGGGCUUUCCGACAGCCUCUGCAUUACAAAACCCAGUGUGUAACACCAGGCUGUGGUUCAGUCCCGGAUAAAGCAGCUGCCUCCUGUCCCUAGCACAGGCACUGCAUGGGCAGCCAGGAACACUCCUGACCAUGUUGGAGCUGGAGUGCUGUCAGCCUUUGGCCAUCUCUCUGUCCUUUAUGACUGGGAGGAGGUGACCAUGACUGCUUUCUGUGACAAUGGUGCCACUUUCUGAUGAGGGAGCAGGGAAGGCCUGGGCUGCUCUGCCACGCAGGAAGCGCUGCAACACCCCCGGCUCCUUCUGCAGCAUCACUCUGAGCAUCUUUUGAGGUGGCAGGAUCUGGAUAUUUGCUAAGUUUUCCCAAAUCUCUAGCCCAGUUCUGGACUUUGAGGAACCAAGCACGUGCCUGACGGGAUCUGCUGUCCCUGAGAAGAACCAAGCUUCUCCAUUCCCAAGCCCAAAGGUGCUUGAGUGAGCAAUUUUCAGGCAUGGAUGGAGCCUGUGAGAGCUUCAACAUUAUUUACAAACACGGAGAAUACUCCAAGUUGAAACUCUUUGGGCAGCGUGACAUAGUGUGGCUGUAGCACACGCGUCCUGUCAUCAGCAUUGUCCACAACACUAUCAGAGCUCUGCAAGACGUGGACCUUUGUGUCAACAACGUGACAGCUGCAGGUUGGAGACCAGGACAGAGACAGCAAAGAUCAGAUACAAAUGCAGCAUUACGGCUCUGGGGUGACCUAACUGCAACCAUCAAGUGGAAGAUUAUUUAUCUGUGGAGUUGGCAUUGGGUUUUCUCCCCAGCUGCAUGACUUAGAUGUAGUCUGUGACUUUCAGUACCAGCCACAAGAUCUUAAAACUCUUUUGUGAUUUUUCUCUCAUUACUUCCCUGAAUGCCAUACAGUGGGAGCGGCCACCUCACUCCUUAAUCUUUUUCCUAGGUACUGGCAUGCUGAACAUCAGUUCUCGUGGCGUGAAACUGGUUGAGAGAUCAACCAACUCACCAGGCUGCUGCACAGCAGGCCAGGAGGAAAAAUGCCUGAUCCCCAGGCGAGGAGUGACUACAGCAGUGUCUCAGCGCCAUCAGCACCCUCAGGCACCUAGAGAUGAUGGCUGCAGAAGCUUCAAGGUUCCCUGGACUCCAGUGAAAAAGAGCAUGAGGGGAUCACAGUCAGCAAUGGAAGUAAUGGUAUUAUGGCUUCUGUGUCUGUAAUGGGACACUUAGGAGGGUUAAUGUCAUACCAAAAAUUGCACCUGCUGCCCUGCAGUUAGACUACUUCACUCCCACCUUAAGCCAAAAGUGGCCCUUUGAAAGAACAUCCUGGAGUAACAGAAGAGACUGGGUGCAACGAUGGCAAGAGCAGCCCCCACUCCCAGCCCUCUCCAAUGCUCGGGGACUCAUUGGGGUUUCAGCAGGGCAAAGGAACUGCUGCGAGGCUGUAGCCUUAAUUACCCACCGGUAAACAUUAGUAUGAUGAUGGUUUAGCUGCUCAGAGCUGGAAUCUGCAUGAUCUAAUACAGGGUUCUCAAAUAAUUCUCCUCAGAUCACUGAGUUGAAGCGGGUACCGUUUCAAAGCUGAGCUCCACAGACAGCAAACAAGAGGCGUAACUGAGAACAAAACGAAAUGCUGGUUUCCUGCACGAAAAACACAAGACCAGAUGUAUUUCACACAGUGUUAUUCACACAUUUUCAUUUUGAUUUUUUUACAGUAUAUACACGUGAGCAUUACAUUAUUCGAUAUGAGCCACCUGGAGUCAAAUCUAAUCAAACUGGUCCAUAAACAAUCUAUAUCAAAAAAGCAAUAUGAUAGCAAAAAGUCUAGUGGUUCUACCCAAAGCCUAAAAUAGUUGGAAGGAAAACCAGUGAUCAUGUUCCUGCAUAUAAUUUGUGCAAAAAAAAAAAAAAAAAAAAAAAAAGGUUUUAGGAUAGCAAGUGGAAGAUGUUCAAGGUACUGAAAACACUAGGGAUGAUGGCUAUAGGACUGUUUAAAUUCAACCAUGGCAUGAGUGCUACUUGGACACUACCAAUUUCUGCCUGGACAUUCCCAAAAGCCUAAUUUAAUGCCUCACGUUGGAGAGAAUGUCAGCUCUUCAGAUAAAAACAUACAACAUUUAUGCACAGGAAAAAAAUACUCAGGAGAAUUAACGUGUUCAAGAAAGGUCCUCAAAUGCCAUCCUUUGUGCGACUACAGGAAAGCCCUGGCUCCAAUGACAAGGCUUGUGCCUCUUGAAGGGAAUUUUGUGAACUGCCAUUCAAAAACUAUUUGGCAAUUAGAAAUGCGAUUACUAAAAAUAAUUAGGCCUACUACAUCACUUCAUGCAGGCGUUAAAUGACAGAUUCAGACACCAAAGGUAGGCCAGAAGAAACUUUCCCAUUUGCCUAUUGAUGAUUUAACGCUAGCAUAUAAAAAAAAGUAGCAACUCAGAUGUAUGCUUCAGUAAGACUUAUGUCAACCUGAUAUAAACAGUAACACAACAGAAUUCCUUACACAAGUUAAUACCACUACUAUUUUCUUUCCUCAUGAUCAGAGCCCUACCAUUACAGCCUUUUAUUUGCUCGAUGCUCGACACUGCUUUCAACCUAUCUUGGUGAUCACAGCUUCAGGUUAUGCCAUCCAAACGAAUGUUUUACACAAAAUACUUACUUCGACAACAUACAAAGCACUUCCUUUAUCUUUCAGAAACUGAAUAUACAAAGUAAGCUUUUUUUUUUUUUUUCCAAAAUAUUUCCAUAGGCAAAGGAUUAAAAAGGAUUUUAAUUAUACACAUAUGGUCACAACUCUGCCUUAAAAAGAUCAUUGGGAAAUGUACAUAAGGCCGCUUGUAAAUGUACAUCAUCUUUAUGUUACUGUUACAAUGUCAUAUGUCCAGAGAAAAAAAUUGACAGUAUCAUACAUAUUUGCUUUACGCUGGGAGAAGGCUAUUCAAAAAUACAGUACUCUUCUGUACAAAAAAAUCAUGCCACAUUUAUUAAGAUGGAAGAAGCAUUGGUUUCUGCGAUAACCAAGUAUUUCAGUCCAUUUCUUUCUUGCUAUGCUUAUUAUCCCAACUUAAAAUUUGAACAGAUCGAUUUCCCAAAGUGUCCAUAUUAACAGAAUCAACAGCUAUGUUAUAAACAAAACAUAAUGUUUCUCACAAUAGAUAAAAAGAAAGCCGGUUCAUAUUUCUGAAACCAUAUAAAGAUAGAAUUUAAAAAAAUCACUCUUGAUUUGCUGAAAUAAAUUUACAUUAUACAACACUAUAUGCCAGGGGGAGAAAAGGGAAGGGGGAUAUGAAUAUACACUAAAAUGCAAAUUUUUGUCCCAAAAAGGGUAAAACAAAUUACAUUUACAGCAUGAAGGUUUACAAAUGUACAUCUGUACAACCAAGGUAAGCAUCACUACUAAAUUAGCAAGGCUUGUAAUAAACAUCGAAACAAGAGAUUUGUUUUCAAACUGUAAACUUACACCUAUUAACUACACGUAUACAAUGCAUAUAUUUAUAGGAAGCAAAAAAGCUAUCUGGAUAUUUAAUCAAUCAUGCUUAAAUGUUGAGCUAUCAAGUUUACUUUUCAGUGGCCCCUUUUCUCUUCAUCAAUACCUAUUUUUUGCAUCUACAGU